Molecule: long non-coding RNA, 503 nt
Filed under: Nicotiana benthamiana
Lineage: Eukaryota; Viridiplantae; Streptophyta; Magnoliopsida; Solanales; Solanaceae
Description: long non-coding RNA (NBEN_LNC032177)
Source: RNAcentral
UUAACUCUGGGAAAUCCAAAUAGCAGUAAUGCACAUAACACAAACAUGAAUAAAAAGAAGAAUAAGUUUCAAAGUAUAGUGCACUAACCAGUUGCAGACAAACUAAAAAAAGGAUAAAGAACUCGAAAACAUCAAUAAUAGCAUGCAAAAUCAAUUAGAAUCAAUUUAAGAAGAAUUAGGCAAACCCUAGUUUGAAAAGAAGAACAAAAAUAGUAAAAAUGUCUCAAUUACUCGGACUAAUAAGAUCUGGAAGUGAGUGUAUCAGGUCAGAAACAUGAAGAUAAUACAUAAUCGGAGUUGAACGAACAUCGGUGAUUCAUUUUCCAUAAAUAAUCGAGUACCAAAUGAUUGUAAUGUUUAAGAGAUGGUAAGCGUCUCCGUGUGUGCAAGAAAAGAAAGGAAUCAUGGAAGAUUUCCAUGUGAAUAUCGAAUUGGGACUGGGAUUUGAGUGGAGCAGCUAGGGUUUGUAGAAGAGAGGAGUAGGUUCGAGAAAGCAUAGAGGC